RNA transcript from Raphanus sativus (radish), 1234 nucleotides. RefSeq lists it as uncharacterized. NCBI's taxonomy places the organism in Eukaryota, Viridiplantae, Streptophyta, Magnoliopsida, Brassicales, Brassicaceae. The record is from RefSeq and is a predicted model, not a curated record. The transcript has 6 exons.
AUCUGUCACCUCGUAAAUAACACAAACAACCUCCUCUUCUCUUGCUUCGCUACGAAAUCUCUGAGUCACAGCGACAAUGGCGGAAUCACCGUCGCAGAGUGGUGCGCAGCUUAUCGCUCAUCAAGCUGAAUCGGAUCUGGCGUCUCUCGUAUUCGAGAUGUCACAGCAAGUUCAGGUGGGGAUGGAGAAUAUGCUCAAGCUGGUCAAUGAGAUCGAUGGGAACUCUGUUGGAAUCAAGGAAGAGAUUGAGAAGUCAAAGGAGUUUGCAAUGGAGAAGAAGAGGGUUCUCGAGGAAGAGAAAGAACAGUUUCAGAAAGCUGCUUACACUAUUCUAGACAUGCUCAGCAACCGAGACUAAAGACGCGCAGCAGCAGGGGGAAUGCAUCCAAUCUCGUAGAGUAAAAACUUUUCUCAGGUUUGAUGGCAAUGACAUCCAGGCUACAUAUUAUACAAGGAAGUCAAUGAGAUCUCAAAGAGCGUUAAAGCAAAGAAGAAUUCAUGCUCAGAUAUAUCUUGUUUCUCUCUGGAAAACUGAAGCAAUCAAUCUAAAUGACUUUCAAAGCGUCUCUGUAAACUUCUCCAUUUUUUGUUGAAGUUGUGGGUUUUUUUCAUUCGUUAAUGAUAUGCUGUAAUGGCAGAGAGAGUUAUCAUCAAGCAAAGCUUUGUCUUUAGCUGCUAUUGGAGAGAUGAUUGAGACGGACUCAUUGUUUGAGAAAUAUCACAAAGUACCUUUCUCCACUGAUCGUUUGCAUUUCUUAUUAUGCAGACGGGGAUGACAAAAUGAUCAGCGUUGCUGUGGAGGAAACAUAGGCAACGGAUCUGAGAUGAUGAGGAAGGAACGGAGCAACAAAGUGCCUCAUUGGUGGGUUCAAACGACAGUUCUGAAGAUAACAAGAUGAAGUCAACAGUGGAUUUGCAAAAACGGAGGAAGAAGUACCUGAAAGCGACAAUAAUGAGGUAAAAGCAAGGAUGACUCAGAGGGAAAGAUCGAGUUCAGUGCCAAAAGAGUGACGAGUAACUCAGCUCUCUGUUAAAAGUUAAAACCAAUGUUUUGAGAUAUGGUAAAAGCUUUUGAAGGAGACGACAUCGUUUCGUCUAUUUUUGGAUUCUAAUUGAUAGUCCAAGCUUUUCAUUAGUUUAGAGGGUCUAGGACUUGAGAGCAGAAUGACCAUUUAAGUUUCUUUGAUUCAGUUGUGUUCAUUCAAGAUGUUCUUUCAAUAUCUUAUUUUCUACU